AUUUUUCAACCUCCACUGGAUCACACAGGGCCAGUUUGUGCUUGGUGCAUUGUAAGGGAGAGAGAAAGUCCCUCCUAAUGCUCCCAAAGUGACCUUUCUGUUCCUAAGAGGGAACAGCU
RNAcentral lists this small nucleolar RNA (119 nucleotides) under Castor canadensis (American beaver). RNAcentral describes it as "Small nucleolar RNA SNORA64/SNORA10 family (ENSCCNG00000013985.1)". Lineage: Eukaryota; Metazoa; Chordata; Mammalia; Rodentia; Castoridae. The record is from RNAcentral.